Mauremys reevesii (Reeves's turtle) is the source of this 1488-nucleotide long non-coding RNA. RefSeq lists it as uncharacterized. The record is from RefSeq and is a predicted model, not a curated record. The transcript has 5 exons. Lineage: Eukaryota; Metazoa; Chordata; Testudines; Geoemydidae.
UGAGAGGUCGAAUCCAGCCCCUGCACUGAGGCAGGACCAAGUAAACCUAGACCAUCCCUGACAGGUGUUUGUUCAACCUGUUCUUGAAAACCUCCAAUGAGGGGGAUUCCUCAAACUCUCUUGGAAGCCUCCCAUGGGUAUGUAGUAGACCCCACUUUCCUAGUGCAGUGGGCCAACACCCCUUCAAAGAAAUUCAGAACACUGUGCUUCAAAGGCCCGAAGGACUGUGUCAGUUCCCAAAAAGGACUAAAGCCGGGGUUUGAGGACUGAAAAUGUAAGAUGAUCAUUAAUCUUUAUAGCUGUGCAUAGGUCGAGGUGAUGCCCAAGCUCAAAGUUUAAGAACUAGAUCCAGUUUGUGCCUCUGUCUACUGCUAAGUUGCAUAGAACAAGAGUAACCAAAUGUCACACUUCAGAGGGAAGAUGAUUGCCUGUGGAAUUUUUAUAACCCAUACUGUUUUGCAGUGGGUCAGCUGCUCUAGGAAAAGCUGAGAUUAGUUUUCUCCUGUGAACAAUCAGAAAGUGACCACUGCUCAAGUCUUUUUGUCUUUUUUCCCCUAUUUUCUUAAUCAUUUUUACCAUGUGAAGUUUCAUUUAGUUACCAUGAGUGCAGGGGACUGGACUAGACGACCUCUUGAGGUCCCCUCCUGUUGAAUGAUUCUAUGGACUUUGCUCCCAUUUAUUCAAGUGGAAGGAAAUAACAAAUUUAAUGACAUUUCUGUGGGCCAGUUUGUGCCCUUGUUCCUCACUGGUGUGCUAGAAAGUGGUGAAGUGCUGCAGAACCUGAGAGGAUGAGCUCCGAGAUCCUGGGACCAACACAGCUACAACAGUGCAAGAUUGGCAGAUGGACGUUCUGCCACAGCUUCCUCAAGGUGAAAUCUGUGGGGCUCGUGGAUUGAUGUGCUACACAACCUCAGCAAGCUUGGCAGCAUCUGGCCCUAACAGUUGCACUAAUCAGCCUGAGCAGUUAACACUGUUUACAAAUGGACUAUUUACAUUCAGCUUCCGAGGUCAUGAUGUCAGCUGAAUUAUUCUGAGAAUGAAAGUGGAUCACCACCAGCAGUGAUUUUUGAAAGAGCCUCUAGGAGCACAUGGGGGAUGUGCUAUACAGUACCAUAUCCCCACACUUCACCAGGGGAGGAGGGACCAAGUCGCUUCUGCAUUGAGUGCAAGUAUGGCAGCUGCUGCAGUCUGUCUCUCUUCCUAACACUGCUUGCCUGCCUGCCCGGGCCACAGUAUGAAGAGCCGCUGUUAGGUUGGAGCCCAGAGGCCAGUUCCUCAUCACCGCCACCACAGAGGGGAAAGCUGCUCUCCUCCAACCCUACUUACCAGUUUUCCUUCCAGAUCAUUACUACAGAACUUAAAUAAAACCACGCCAGAAGGAAGCCAGAAAAAGAGAAGCAUGAGUGCUAAGAAAACUAGAGUGAAACUCCAGUGGAGGAAUUAGGGCCCUGAUUCAGGAAAUCACCUGUAUUCAGGAAAACACUCAAG